GGGCCCGCACAAGUGGUGGAGCAUGUGGUUUAAUUCGAUGCAACGCGAAGAACCUUACCAACCCUUGAAAUCUAGCGAAGUUCACAGAGAUGAGAAUGUGCCUUCGGGAACGCUAUGACAGGUGUUGCAUGGCUGUCGUCAGCUCGUGUCGUGAGAUGUAUGGUUAAGUCCAGUAACGAGCGCAACCCCUAUCCUUAUUUGCCAGCGCGUUAAGGCGGGAACUAUAGGGAGACUGCCGGUGAAAACCCGGAGGAAGGCGGGACGAGGUCAAGUCAUCAUGGCCCCUUAUGGGUUGGGCUACACACGGUGGCUACAAUGGGAAGUACAGAGGGACGCUAAAGCGCGAGCUGGAGCCAAACCCCUUAAACCGUGGCUCAG
Molecule: ribosomal RNA, 378 nt
Filed under: uncultured bacterium
Lineage: Bacteria
Description: bacterial SSU rRNA
Rfam family: Bacterial small subunit ribosomal RNA
Source: RNAcentral